GAUGAACGCUGGCGGCGCGCCUAACACAUGCAAGUCGAACGGCACCCACCUCCGGGUGGAAGCGAGUGGCGAACGGCUGAGUAACACGUGGAGAACCUGCCCCCUCCCCCGGGAUAGCCGCCCGAAAGGACGGGUAAUACCGGAUACCCCGGGGUGCCGCAUGGCACCCCGGCUAAAGCCCCGACGGGAGGGGAUGGCUCCGCGGCCCAUCAGGUAGACGGCGGGGUGACGGCCCACCGUGCCGACAACGGGUAGCCGGGUUGAGAGACCGACCGGCCAGAUUGGGACUGAGACACGGCCCAGACUCCUACGGGAGGCAGCAGUGGGGAAUCUUGCGCAAUGGGGGGAACCCUGACGCAGCGACGCCGCGUGCGGGACGGAGGCCUUCGGGUCGUAAACCGCUUUCAGCAGGGAAGAGUCAAGACUGUACCUGCAGAAGAAGCCCCGGCUAACUACGUG
RNAcentral lists this ribosomal RNA (459 nucleotides) under uncultured bacterium. Its description in RNAcentral is "bacterial SSU rRNA". It matches the Rfam family "Bacterial small subunit ribosomal RNA", at positions 28 to 507 of the family's 1533-position model. The record is from RNAcentral.